Molecule: long non-coding RNA, 10655 nt
Filed under: Elaeis guineensis (African oil palm)
Lineage: Eukaryota; Viridiplantae; Streptophyta; Magnoliopsida; Arecales; Arecaceae
Description: long non-coding RNA (EGUI_LNC016183)
Source: RNAcentral
CUCUCGCGGUCGACAUAUGGUGCGGAGUGCUGGGUGGGGAAUUCAAGGAAUGGUCUCGGCGCAAUUUCCUACAUUCUUCUCCCCCUAGAUUUAUAUCAAAGAUGUUACCAUCAAUCAUCAUCAUACAAAAAAAAAGAAAAAAAAAGAAAAAGAAAAAGCCACUGGCAUGACAUGGACUGAUGAGUAUGCUUGGUUUGCCUGAUUGAGCCCUACAUGACUUGUCAUGACCUAUCCAUCGCUGCACUUCUGGAGCCCCGUUUAUACCCGGUUCAAUUUGUUUUCAGCGGAAGUGGCCGGUAAAUAUUAGACUACAAAACAAAAAACAGCCCCCCUACUCCAAAUAUAUCUAAUCUUGUUGAAGGCAGCAAUUGAAAAUAAAGUUUGAUUGCGAGAGCUGAUGCAUUAGACCUUCAUGAACUGCGACCAUGGAACCUAUAGACUGAAUUCAAGAGAUUAUAUGUCUAUGAUUCCUAUCUUGAUAAGAUCAAUCGAGAUAUAUUGUAGCUUGCAGGUCCCAAAUUAUUUCUCCAUUCUAGCAAAUUGAUGCAUGUGACACCUUAGCUUUGCUAGCUUCAAUCCGGCUUAGAGGUGACCGUUGCGUGGAGCAAACUUGAUGUUGACCAGGGGUUUGAAGUUAGGCGUAAUGGUGCGAGGUAAUGAGAGGUUAACUUUGGAAUGCAAGGGACAUUCUGGGUUCAAAUCAUUUUGGCAAAAGAGGUCCGCAGGCCUAGAGUAGACGGGUUUCAAGAUAAGAUUUGUUGUUGAGAGCUAAUGCAUUAGACCAUGACUUAUCUGAUUUAAAUUUAUUGUAGCCUGUUGGUCCCCUAAUUCUAACAAAUUGAUGGGUACACAUUGCUUUUGUAGUUGAAUUUGGUCUCCAUGAUAAUGGUUGAGACCCCAUCAUGCCAAUCCAGUUCUGAAAUUAUGCAUAAUUGUGAAGGGUAAGGAGAGGAUAAGCAGAACCUAAUGGCUUGCAGAUUAAUUCAGAUUCAGCAUUUUUCUUCUUAAUUAUAUUUCAGGUGAAUUAUGAAUUUUCACCAUUCAAGAAGAAGAGGGCAUGCAAAUGAUAUCAUAUGUUCAUAUCGGCUUUUACUCCAUUUUUCUGUGCUUGUUCUUAAUAAUUGCAGAAGGGGCGGUACUGGUUCCCAAAGGAUGGACAAAUGCAUAUGUCUAAUUUCCUUGUUAACGUUUGUGCAAUGUUUGUUAAGGGAUAAACUCGUGCAAUAAUGUGGAAGAUAAUGGCAGAGUAAAGCAAUGACUGUUUUAUUGAUGCAGCUGAGGUCGGUUCAUGCAUUUGAAUCAACUUUGCAUCAAAUGUAAUCGAAGAUGAUCGAGCGCCAUGUUGGUGUUUGGGUUCCCAAUGGGUCUUUUAUACUAGUGUUCUAUUUUGACUUCAUCUUGGUUUUACAAAAUGAUUUUAGCAAAACCUGAUCACCAUCAAAGAGAUGUACAGAGGAGGAUGGUUUAUUUUAAAAGAUCUUAAGGCAUUUAUUAUAUGAUGGCAAGAAAUAUGGAUUAAAACAUGCCAUGCUUAUGGUAUAAUGGCUAUCAUAUCAACCAAAAAUAUGGGCCUUCUUGCAAAUUAUGGCGGUUUUAGUUUCCGAAUAUACUUCACACAUCCUCCUGUGCAACAUGUGUAUGGAUUGUUAGAAUCUUUUUGGGCUUACAUUGUUUGGAAUUUUUUUUUUUAAUUUCAUAAAAUGGGUUGAGCAUGUAGCCCAAUUAAUUAUCCCGUGAGCCCAAGUGAUCUAAUGUUAUAGUUGGGGUUGUAAGAUGUGGUACAAAAGUAUAUGGCCUAUACUGUUGGAUAUCUAUGAUGGAUGGGUUCGUUAAAUUAUUAUAUAUAGACUGGAUCCCCUCUCCUCUCAAGACACAGGAUAAUUGUUUGCCCCAUCGAUAGCCGUUUAAUAUAAAGGAGAAGGAGAGGAAAUCCAAGACCUAAGACGUGUGCAGGUUGUUGUCAACUUACAGGCAAAUCACAGUGAAAGCUAAUCAGCUAUAGAUUCAAGAGGUAUGUUUAAACUCUUUAUUAUUAAUUAUCGGUGUUCUAGAUUUAGUAUGGCUUUAAUUUAAUUGCUUAUAGAUGGUAUCAGAGCCAUACCAUACUGGAUCUAAAACCUUAUGUUUUGUUGUUUAAACAAUUAAUAGUCCAACGGUUGGCAAAACAAUUUUUUUCAUGUAACUGAAUAAUUUUUGUGAGUUUCCUUGUUUGGUUUAUUUUUUGAAAUUUUUUGAACCUGAGGCAUGGACUUUUUGUUUUUUUUCCUCUUUUGGUUGAUGUUUGCUCAUUUUCUUCAUUUAUGGGAUCUGUUAUCGUGCUUGAAUUGCAUGUAGUAUUGCUUUUUGGGUUGAGCCACCGUGAAAGGAUUUAAAGUUUUUUGAAAGUCCCUAUGCAUGUUAUUCGAUAUUAUUUUGCUGCUUGAUAUAUACUAAUUAUUUAAUUUUUUUUUAUUUUAGUAUAUUUUCAGAUUUAAUGGUGAUGUUGACUCCCUUUGAUUUGUUCUCUAAAAUUAUGUACUCUCAAUUUAUUUAAAGAGAAAUAAUAAUUGGAACCAAAUUAAUUAUGGGCAUAAGUAUUAUUCUGUGUGGGACAAUUCUACUAAAGAGGUGGGUGAUUGCUGCCACAGUGGCUCAUUCGUUAAGUUAAUAGAAUUUUUUCAUGAUAGUUUCAGGAUAUUCUUGCUUCUUGUAUUAUUGCAAUCAAUUGCUCACCCAAAAAAAGUUAUUGUGUGUUUUAAUUUGGGAAAGCAUGGAGUAAUUUAUUGAAUGUAAUGGACUAAAGGGUCUAUCUGCCCACAGGUGUUAGGCUUUUGAAAUAUGUUUAUUUCAUUAAAUUGCUUGCUUCAAGGAUUUUCAUAUUGCAUGUUAUAUUCUCUAACCUGAGGGGAGUUUAUGGUGAUGCACCUUGGGGUCCUUGUGAGAAUAUAUUAUAUUCUUAUUUUUUGAUUAUUGUCCAUGUUGUAAUUAUUAAUUGUGCUAUCAUUAUUUUUCAGCUCCAUGUACAUUUUCUGUCAAUAAUCAGACCUCUACUAUUGAAACUUUGACUGAAAAUAAUUACAAGAGAUGAAAAGAGAAUAUUGAAAUGGCCUUUAUCAUGAUAAAUAUUGAUAUAGCCAUACGAGAGAGUGAGCCUGCAAAACCUACUAUUGAAAGUACAGUUGAAGAAAAAACCCUAUAUGAAAAAUGGGAUAGGGCUAAUCGUUUGGCCUUGAUGAUGAUGAAAAGGUCAAUUUCAGCAACCCUUGUUCAUGGAAUGCGAACCACUUCUAAUGUCAAAGAAUUUUUUAGUACCAUUGGGGAAAGAUAUGUAGUAUCUGAAAAGGCUGAAAUUACUGAACUUUUGGAGAAACUUAUAGGUAUGAAAUAUGAUGGGAUGGGUGUCAUUAGGGAGCAUAUUUUGAAAAUUAUCGAUAUUAUUAGACAACUUGAAAACCUCAAUGUCCCUUUCAAUGAGACUUUUAUUGUUCACCGUUCCUUGAUUUUUUUACCUAGCCAGUUUGCUAAUUUCAAACUUUCUAUAAUGCCCAAAAGGAAAUCUGGGACGUGAAUACCUUAAUAUCCAUUUGUACCCAAAAAGAACAAAGGAUAUGAUGGGAGAAUGGAGGGAGUGUGAAUUUAGUUACUCAGCCAUGCCCUAAGAAGUCUGGACCUAAUAAGAAAUUUAAGCCCAACAAUCAUAACGGUCCCAAAAAAGAACAUGAUCAGACUCACAAAGUUCUGAGCCCUAAAGUUAUUAUCAAAAAGGAUAAUAAAUGUUGGUUUUGUCAAAAGGAAGGUCAUAAAAGAUCUGAUUGCCCUGGAUUUAAGAUUUGGUUAGCAAAGCAUAAGAAACAAAAAGGUAAUUUAUUGGCUCUUGUUUGCUUUGAAUCUGAUUUAAUGGAUGUUCCUUUAAAUUCUUGAUGGAUUGAUUCAGGGGUAUCUAUUCAUAUUGCUAAUUCCUUACAGGAGUUCAAGAGCAAAUGAAAAUCAAGUGAAGAUGAAGUCAAACUUUAUGUUGGAAAUGGAGUCCAAGUAGAAGUCGAAUUUAUAGGGACAGUUGAAUUGAAAUUAAAGUCUAGUUUUUCUUUGAUUUUGGAAAAGAUUCUUUAUGUGCCGUCCUUAAGGCAGAAUUUAAUUUCUUUGUCAAAACUUGAUGAGUGUGGUUUUUUCUUUAAUUUUAGUAAUGAUAUUUUUGAAUUAAUUUCUAAAUCUCAAGUUGUUGGAAAUGGUUUUAAAUGUGAUAGUUUGUAUAGAUUAAAUCUUGAGUCUAAACCACUUACCUCCUUAUAUAUUGAAAAUAUAGGUACCAAAAGAGCUAUGAUUAAAAAAAUUCUUUUAAAUUAUGGCAUAGACGUCUGGGUUAUAUUUCAAAAGAAAGAAUUGACAAACUGAUAAAAGAUGAAGCUCUUCCUUCUCUUGAUUAUUCGGAUUUUGAAACCUGUGUUGAUUGUAUUAGGGGCAAGUUGAUCAAGUCUAAAAGAAAAGGAUCCACUCGUUCUAAUGAUCUUCUAGAAAUAAUUCAUGCAGAUAUUAGUGGACCUUUAAAAUUGACUAUAUGUAGAAAUAGAUACUUUAUCAUAUUUAUUGAUGAUUAUUCUCAUUUUGGUUAUGUAUAUCUUAUCAAUGAUAAAUAUCCGGCUUUAAAAUUUUUUAAAAUUUAUAAAACUGUGGUUGAAAAGCAAUGUGGUAAAGCAAUUAAGAUUGUGAGGUCUGAUCAUGGUGGUGAGUAUUAUGGCAGACAUGGUGAUACAGAAUAAUUUAUGGGGCCAUUUGCCAAAUAUUUACAAGAUUAUGGUAUUGUUUCUCAAUUUAUUAUUCCUGAAACUCCUGAACAAAAUGGGAUGGCUGAAAGAUGUAAUCACACUCUUAAGGAUAUGAUUAGGUCCAUAAUGAGUAGGUGUGAUCUUUCUGAGUUUUUUGGGAUAAAGUCCUUAAAACUGCUAUGUAUAUUCUCAACAGAGUAUCUAGUAAAUCUAUUUCUAAAACUCUUUUUGAACCGUAGAAGGGAUGGAAGCCUAGUUUUAACCAUUUUCGUGUUUGGAGUUGUCCUCCUGAGUGAAAUCUAUGAUCCUUUAGAGUCAAAAUUGGACCCUAAAGCCAUCCGUUGUUAUUUUAUUGGUUACCCUAAUAAUUCCAAAGGUUAUAGAUUCUACUGUCCUACUUGUGGUACAAGGAUUGUUAAGGCUAUUACUGUUAAAUUCUUGGAGAAUGAUAUGAAUGAUUGUGGAUGCUCUCAUAUUAGAGAUGUGAUUUUGGAAGAACGUCUUGUCAUAUCCAUACCUAUUGUACAGGAGAGAGUGAUUUUUCAGCCUACUGAAUUAGUGGGAGAGGAGUAACAGCCACAUGAAACUAUGGAGCUAUUUAUUGUGCCACUUCAACCAGUUGAGGAGGCUCCUGUUAGACGUUCUCAAAGAGCAAGGAGGCCUGCAUUGUCAGAUGACUAUGUUGUUUAUAUGGAAGAGACUGAUUAUGAUAUUAGGAAUGCUGUGGAUCCAAUCUCUUGUAAUCAAGCCAUGUCUUGUCCUCAAUCUUCUGAAUGGCUUAAUGCUAUGAAAGAUGAAAUCCAAUCAUGUUUCACAAUGAUGUGUGGGAGCUUGUGGAACUUCCUUGUGGUCUUAAACCUAUUGGUUGUAAGUGGGUAUUCAAAACCAAGAAAGAUCCUAAGGAAAAAGUAAAACGUUAUAAAGCUAGAUUGGUGGCAAAGGGGUUUACUCAAAAGGAAGGUAUUAAUUAUAAUGAAAUAUUUUUUCCAGUCUCAUCUAAGGAUUCUUUCAGAAUUAUUAUGGCACUUGUAGCACACUUUGAUUUAGAACUUCAUCAGAUGGAUGUGAAAACUACUUUCUUGAAUGGGAGCCUUUCAGAAUAAGUUUAUAUGCAGCAACCUGAAGGUUUCAAAGAGAGUGAUAAGGAAUAUAUGGUAUGUAGGUUAAAGAAGUCUAUAUAUGAUCUCAAACAGGCUUCUAGGCAGUGGUACAUUAAAUUUGAUGAGGUUGUGACAUCUUUUGGGUUUAUCGAGAAUAAGAUUGAUCAGUGUAUGAUCAGUGGGAGCAAAUUCAUUUUUCUUGUCCUUUAUGUGGAUGAUAUUUUGCUUGCUAAUAGUGAUCUUCAUGAGACUAAAUCUAUGCUUUCUAAGACCUUUGAUAUAAAAAAUCUGAGGAAGCAUCCUUUGUAUUGGGUAUUGAGAUUCACAGAGACAUACCUAGAGGUGUUUUGGGACUUUCUCAAGAGGCCUAUAUUGAACGUGUUUUAGUUAGAUUUAAUAUACAGGGUGGUAAGUCUGGAGAUGUGCCUAUUAUAAAAGAUGAAGUACUUAGUAAGAAAAGUUGUCCUAAAAAUGAGAUUGAGAGAAAAUCAAUGAAAAAUAUUCCUGUGCCAGAGCAGUUGGGAGCUUGAUGUAUGCUCAAGUUUGUACCAGACCAGAUAUUGCUUUUGGUGUGAGUGUGCUUGGCAAGUUCUUAUCAAAUCCAGGGAUGGAUCAUUAGGUGGCUGCAAAGAAAGUGAUGAGAUACUUGCAGAAAACUAAAGACUUUAUGCUUGUUUAUAGAAAGUCUGAUAAUCUUGAAGUCAUUGACUAUUCUGAUGCAGAUUAUGCAGGUUGUCCAGAUGAUAGAAAAUCAACUUGUGGUUAUGUUUACAUGAUGUGUGGAGGGCCGAAUUGUUCCAUGAAAAAGUGUAAAACAAACUCUUGUUGCUUCUUCCACUAUGCAGGCAGAGUUUGUAGCUUGUCAUGAAGUAGCUAAACAGGCAUUGUGGUUAAAGAAUUUUAUUUUUGGAUUAUUGGUUGUUGAUUCUACCUAUAGGCCAAUUUUAAUCUAUUGUGAUAAUAGUGCUGCAGUGUUCUUUUCGAAGAACAAUAACAAUUCUAAUGGCUCCAAACAUAUAGAGAUUAAAUAUCUUGUAGUCAGAGAUAUGGUUAAAAGAGGUGAUAUUAUUGUGGAGCAUCUUGAGACUGAGGCGAUGAUAGCUAAUCCAUUAACCAAGGGUGUCCAACCAAUUAUUUUUAAGAAACAUGUUGAAAACAUGAGUAUUUUGGGGUCUUUUGAUUACUUGGUUAGUGGGAGUUAUGUAUUAUGUAAUUGAAUUUUCAGACUUGUUGACUUUAUAUUUUGGAUGAUAUAUGCAUAAGGAUAUUUAUCAUUAAUUUAUUAUGUGCAUGUAAUGGUUAUUGUUUUUUGUUAUGCCUGUGCAUAACUGGUUAUGUUGUUUGUGUUCAUUUGUUGAUCGUAUUAAUAUCUCGAGAUAUAUAUUGAAAUUGUCUCCUUGGGGAGGUAUUAUGGAUUUCGUUAGAAACCAUGGAGGACCAUAAUAGACUUGGCAUAAAAGAGAUCACAUAUUGGCAUGCUUUGUCUAUUCUACAUUUAUCACAUCUAUUUAUGGUCAAUAAAAUUGCUGGCUUUUGUGAUCAUGGUUGGAUUUAUGACAUUAAUUGCAUUAUGAUGGUCAUGAUUCGAAGUUGAUAUUCUUAUUGGAUCAGAUCAUAUUCUUCAAGAUAUUCUAUUGGGCUGUGUUGUUAGUGGCCACUGUUGUUGUUGUUGUUCAAUCCAAGAGUCGUUUUCUAAAAAUUGAGUUUUUUAAAGUUAAAAUACCAAUCAAUGUCGCCCAAGGGAGAGAAUGUUAGAAUCUUUUUGAGCUUACAUUGUUUGAGAUUUGUUUUAUUUCAUAAAAUGGGUUGAGCAUGUCGCCCAAUUAAUUGUCCUGUGAGCCCAAAUGAUCCAAUGUUGUGGUUGGGCUUGUAAGAUGUGGUAUAAAAAUGUCGGGCCUAUACUGUUGAAUACCCAUGAUGGGUGGAUUCGUUAAAUUAUUAUAUAUAAGCUGGGUCUCCUCUCCUCUCAAGACACGAGACAAUUGCUUGCCCCAUCGAUAACCAUCUAGUAUAGAGGAGAGGAGAAGGAGAGGAGAAGGAGAGGAAACCCUAGACCUAAGACAUGUGCGCGUGUGCACAUUGUUGUCAACUUGCAAGCAAAUCGCAAUGAAAGCUAAUCAACUAUGGAUUCAAGAGGUAUGUUUAAACUCUUUAUUAUUAAUUAUCGGUGUUCUAGAUUUAGUAUGGCUUUAAUCUAAUUGCUUACAUGGAUAUGCAAGCUCACGUUGGUAUGGCACAUAACAAGUGCAUGUAGUGCAUCCGCGUCGAUUUCUAGUCUCAGCAAUGGAACUUAUCAUGCAUUACAUGAUCUAUCAGGUUUGAGAUCGGCGUCUGAUGGUAUCUGGUAGCACAUGUCGAUGGAAAUUUCAAUUUGCAUUUCAAGGUGAGGAUUUCAAAGGAAGAUGAGUUUGGCAAUGAGCCACUGUAUGCGAUCGAUGAAACUGACCCACCAAUGUUGUUGAUGGCCACAAGCAACCAUCUUGCAGUUAAUAGCAAUAGAAAUGGAAUGGUUAGAUGCUAGAGCUCCACGGGAUCAGGGAUCAGAGAGCAGGGCAAUUGGUUGGAUUGAUUGCUAACUAGAUGGUUGUGACAGCAGAUAAGGAUGGGUAGGCUAGGUGGUAUGGAUGUAUGAUCGUUUAUCUACAAAUGGGGGAACAGAAUUGUGUGGUCCUCUAGCAGAUUCUAAAACACAGAGAUUCAAUCAUGGAGUGAUGAUUUGGCAGUGUUAAUGCUCACUCGCGUUGCUAUGGCAUGGUCGGUCACAUGGAGAUGAGUUAAAUCAUGAUGUUGUUUAAAACACAACCAUCUAUUUCUCACAUUAAACCCCAAGUUGCCAUCCGCUCAAGCGGCUGGACAGAAGCCUGGGCUGUCCAUCACUUGAAAUUCUAAUCUUUGGUUGUUUUUAAUCUCUCACUCAGCACCUACUUGUUUUCUGUUUUCUUUUUUUUUCUCUGUUUUUUUAUCCCUGAGGUCCAAGAAGAGCCACUCUAGACUGGUAGCGCCUUGUAUUUGUUCAAGUUUUAUUUUAUUUUAUUUUUGCAUGCGGCGGGCCUCCCAGCAAGUUGGAUCAAUGAACAGGGAAUUGAUGUGGUAUCGACGGUAUCAAUUAAUUCUGCCUGUCCCUCUCGGACCGAUGAAUUAAGCGAUGAUCCGGCAGGAGAUCUUUAAUAUUUCCUCACACAAAUUAAAUUGCGCCCAACUAUGUCAAAUCAAGACAUAUUAUCCUACGUACUAUGGCUAAAUCACUACAUAUUAUGCAACGUCCGAUACCGUAUGAAAGCAUCGCAAUCACAAUCAGACCAAAUUAUGCCAAUUCACUGCGAAGUGUGAACCGAGCACCAAAUCACCCCAAAUUAGAUGCCAUGCCACCGCUGGAAUUAUUUUCGCACGAAACCCCAGCAAUGGAAUCCCACGGUUAAGUGGAAUCAAAAAGGGUUCAAGACACCAGCCCUCCGACACCAAUCCGUAUUUCAAUUGCAAUGGAAAUGAAGCGUAUAUGCUUGCACGGUAUAUUUUACUGUACUGAUUUCUGCUUUAUAUAUGAACAACAUCUGAAAGCAAGAUUUGCAAUCCAUUCGGUAUAUUGCAUACCAUGUAUUGGUAUAGCAUACCGUCUCAUAUUAAUACUAACAUAUCAUACCAAAUCACAUACUGGUACUAUAAUAAAUUGGUAUCAGUAUGGAUCCGAUAUCAAGAUGAUAAAUCUCAUGUGAAAAGAUGUGGGAUCAUACACAUGGGCCUCCCACUAGAGUUAUUUGGAGCCAAAUGAGAUGAGAUCAAGAAAACGGCAACAAAACCAGCAGAAAUAAAUGACAUGAAGCAUAGCCUCUUAUUUCAAAUGAAUAAAUGUACACCACUAAAUAAAUGUCACAUAAUCAUGUAUCAGAAAAUGAAUCACUCUGUCACCGGAAAAUCUCAAAAUCUCGAACUCAAAUUCCACCCCCUUCUGACAAAAGGGACAGGUGAAAAAAUAACAAAUGUGAAUAAUAAGUAGAUGCACAAGGAAACAUGUAUACCUCAUAACACUCCAUACCACUACUCCACAAGGAAAACCAUGAUGUCCCGUCCCCAUUUCCUAUGCCAUGUAAGACUCUCAAUGAGCCAAAAAGGCAAGGAAAGACAUCAGAGAAGCCAGAGCUGCAGCGCAGACGCCCGGGAAAGUCCCCACAGAUCCAUUCUCCAUGGCAGGUGCUGGACUUGGAGCCAUGCCUUCCUCUUGGGCACCAACGAUGACCAAAACAAGUAGCAGAAGCAGCAGAGGUGCCUUCAAGGAGAGAUUGAGUACUGCCAUUCUAAUUUAGAUUUGAGAGACACAGAGGUAUGGGGAGAAGAGAAACAAACAGAGAGAGAUUGAGAAAUAGGUGAAUUUGGGUUACCAUGUGGAAGCUCCGGUUGGGUUUUUAUAGUCAUGGAAGAAGGUUCAAAGAAUAAGAAAAAAGAGAGCCGUUGGAGAGAAGAAACCUUUCGAAUUCCGGCAUCUAUGUGGGGUGGGACCCGGAGGAACAAAUGUAGCCGUUAAAGGAGAACACGUGUCAUCUAAUAGAAGGGUCGGUUCAGAAGCCGCUGAACGGCACGAUCACCUGGCCGCGAAGGAGGACAAAUGCGCUCCAUGGAGGACCGGCCGGCAGACGGCUGCGAGGCAAGCGAAGAAACGUCCAGGCGAGGCGACAGCUAACGUUCACCGACAGGUGGGAGGACUUGUCCGGUAGGUGGAAACUGGUAAAGAGAGAUGACUGCCUCUCUAGCAAUGGCGUGCACGUCUCGGAGUCUAGAAAAAUUAGGUGAACAUACCGCGGAACAGGACUAACGGCUG